RNAcentral lists this transfer RNA (279 nucleotides) under Salinibacter ruber. RNAcentral describes it as "tRNA-Leu". The stretch from base 26 to 221 matches the Rfam family "Group I catalytic intron". From Rfam's summary of the family: Group I catalytic introns are large self-splicing ribozymes. They catalyse their own excision from mRNA, tRNA and rRNA precursors in a wide range of organisms. The record is from RNAcentral. Lineage: Bacteria; Pseudomonadati; Rhodothermota; Rhodothermia; Rhodothermales; Salinibacteraceae.
GCCGGGGUGGCGGAAUUGGUAGACGCAACGGACUUAGACAAAUGAGUGCUGGGGCGGAAACGCCUCACGUAGAUCUGCUCAAAGUCAGGGAAGCCUUUUGACUGGUAAUCCUGAGCCAAGCCCGAUUCGGGAAGGUGCAGAGACUUGACGGGCAGCACCUACGUCCGGCCGGAUACGGUGAAGAGAAAGUCCAGACCACGCCCCACCAAUGAAAAUUGGAGUGGUACGAAAAUCCGUUGGGCCUUGUGGCCCGUGUGGGUUCGAGUCCCACCCCCGGUA